Long non-coding RNA from Homo sapiens (human), 887 nucleotides. RefSeq lists it as uncharacterized. The transcript is spliced from 2 exons. The record is from RefSeq and is a predicted model, not a curated record. Lineage: Eukaryota; Metazoa; Chordata; Mammalia; Primates; Hominidae.
CUUGAGAAUGGGAGUGCCUACUCCUCCCUCAACAGCUGACGUAAAAGGGAGAACUUCCUGGAGGCCAGCCAAGAGCCUACUGGGGCAUAAUCAGGCUGCCCAGCUUGUUGGCUUGGACAUGGCUCCUCUCCACUUAGGAGGCUCUGCCCACUCACAUUCCAGGCCUCAGCUUGCCAUGUUUUCCUGUUAAGCCCAGAACCCUUCCCCUGGGUCCCUUCCUCAGAGGGGACAUGUUGGGAGCCACAGUCUCAGAGAUACUUGGGAUUUUAAACAUGAUGCAACUCUAGGGCUGACUUUGGAAUUCUGUGGGCUGUGCUUGGCCCAGAUCCCACCUUUGGGCCACUUUUGCUGCUGCUAUUAUUUUUAGUUGGUGGGGCAAUCAUUGUGUGCCUUUGUACAGUUUUCAUUUGGGAAGCCUUAGAGCUCUUUAACUCCACUCCAUUCUAUCACAUCCUUGUUUAGCAAUGAUCAUCCUUUUGCAUUACAAACUAGAAAAGCAACUCCGUAAGACUAACAAACUCUCUUCAACCAAGUAAAGGAGACUCCUUGUGGAGGGGAGCCCCUGCCCGCUCACCUGGAUGACCAUGCCUCACCUCUGCCGAUCACAUGCAAAUAUUUGUCCUGUUCUGAGACAUCCUCCUGGGUCCCAGCUUCUUCUCUUGAAGAUACAGAUUUCCAGUGCACCAUCAGAAGCCGAAGUAACUGUGAGUGGGAGGCAUUGGAGCCGGCUGGGAGGUAAGCAUUCGGGCCAGCAGGGAGGAGGAGUCGCCCAUGUAGCAGUGCUGGAUGACAACAUUCCCACACUGCCCUCGGACACAUCACAGACCCUGGUACCACAGGAUCCCUCUGAUUCAACUGAAGAGAGAUGCAGAGCUGCAUGCCACCAA